RNAcentral lists this ribosomal RNA (461 nucleotides) under bacterium 2311-S5-01-2.2. RNAcentral describes it as "bacterial SSU rRNA". It matches the Rfam family "Bacterial small subunit ribosomal RNA", at positions 59 to 515 of the family's 1533-position model. The record is from RNAcentral.
CAGUCGAGCGGAUGAGUGGAGCUUGCUCCAUGAUUCAGCGGCGGACGGGUGAGUAAUGCCUAGGAAUCUGCCUGAUAGUGGGGGACAACGUUUCGAAAGGAACGCUAAUACCGCAUACGUCCUACGGGAGAAAGUGGGGGAUCUUCGGACCUCACGCUAUCAGAUGAGCCUAGGUCGGAUUAGCUAGUUGGUGAGGUAAAGGCUCACCAAGGCGACGAUCCGUAACUGGUCUGAGAGGAUGAUCAGUCACACUGGAACUGAGACACGGUCCAGACUCCUACGGGAGGCAGCAGUGGGGAAUAUUGGACAAUGGGCGAAAGCCUGAUCCAGCCAUGCCGCGUGUGUGAAGAAGGUCUUCGGAUUGUAAAGCACUUUAAGUUGGGAGGAAGGGCAGUAAGUUAAUACCUUGCUGUUUUGACGUUACCGACAGAAUAAGCACCGGCUAACUUCGUGCCGGCCGC